CCUUGUCCUAGCAAAAAGAGUAAUUGUGUGCGUGUCUUCUAUGAAAAUGCUUGCUUUUCUUGCUGGUAAUAAGGGUCCAUAUAUUAUUAUAGCAAAAGCGAGUGUGUGUGUGAUUCAUUUUGGUACAGCCAACCACUUCUAGAACCUUAAAGUGAAAUUUCUCCCAAAACAAGAGGGAAGCCCCGCCCCCUCCCAGCGGCGUCUCUUCACAGAUUCUGACGGAGCGGCGGCGCCAGCAUCACAAUGCCUCCAAGCUCCACCAUCCUCCUGCUCAUCUUCCUCCCAUAUCCAGCCGAGCUCGUGACAUUUCAGCCGUCUCGUCCAAGAAUAGUCAAAGACAAGGAACGGGUGGAACUUGACUGCCGUCAUGACGACGACUCCAUGAACGUGAUGCUCUGGUACCAGCAGACCUUCAACGGUCUCAUCAACUUAAUCGGGUACAGCUACGUUGGUUCUGAUCCAAACUAUGAGAAAGGACUGGAGUCUCGGUUUAAGAUCACGAGGAAAGACGCGAGAACGGGAGGACUGAUCAUCGCCAGCGCGGAUGCGUCAGCCUCAGCUGUUUUCUUCUGCGCCGCCAGCACACAGUGA
Non-coding RNA from Cololabis saira (Pacific saury), 591 nucleotides. Lineage: Eukaryota; Metazoa; Chordata; Actinopteri; Beloniformes; Belonidae. The record is from the annotation of a RefSeq genome assembly.